AACGAGCGCUGGCGGCAUGCCUAACAUAUGCAAGUCGAACGAGAUCUUCGGGUCUAGUGGCGCACGGGUGCGUAACGCGUGGGAAUCUGCCCUUUGGUUCGGAAUAACAGUUGGAAACGACUGCUAAUACCGGAUGAUGACGAAAGUCCAAAGAUUUAUCGCCAGAGGAUGAGCCCGCGUAGGAUUAGCUAGUUGGUGUGGUAAAGGCGCACCAAGGCGACGAUCCUUAGCUGGUCUGAGAGGAUGAUCAGCCACACUGGGACUGAGACACGGCCCAGACUCCUACGGGAGGCAGCAGUGGGGAAUAUUGGACAAUGGGCGAAAGCCUGAUCCAGCAAUGCCGCGUGAGUGAUGAAGGCCUUAGGGUUGUAAAGCUCUUUUACCCGGGAUGAUAAUGACAGUACCGGGAGAAUAAGCUCCGGCUAACUCCGUGCCAGCCGCCGCGGUAA
This 449-nucleotide ribosomal RNA is filed under the name uncultured bacterium. RNAcentral's name for it is "partial 16S ribosomal RNA". It matches the Rfam family "Bacterial small subunit ribosomal RNA", at positions 29 to 523 of the family's 1533-position model. The record is from RNAcentral.